CAAAAUCACAGGCAUCAGUAAAAAUAAGGUUGCCACGCCUCGGGAGACUGCAAUCUUCGACCUUCCAGAAGCUGACGGAUACUUCAAAACAAAUUCUUUUGUUUGAUAGUUUUUUCCGUUGGUCUGUAUUUUGGGAGGUUUUUCUUCUCAGUCCAAAUAAAGUAAGAUCAGAAAGGGAAUAACUGUUAUUGUAGCGUUACUUUGCAUCAAAAUAGAAGUGAAAGUGUUUUUGGAAUUACUGGGC
Pelobates cultripes (western spadefoot toad) is the source of this 244-nucleotide non-coding RNA. Lineage: Eukaryota; Metazoa; Chordata; Amphibia; Anura; Pelobatidae. The record is from the annotation of a GenBank genome assembly.